UAAAUUCAUUAAGUAGAUGGAUAAGUAUAAAUUGCAACAAUAUAUUGAACAAUGGAACACAAUAAGCUAAAAUUAAGGUGGCACGUAUUGGACAUUCUUUGGAGCAGAGAUGGAAAGUUAUGUCAACAGAAAUGUCAAUGUUAGAAAUACUAAACGAAUAAAGCAUGUAGCUAUGCUGUAGCAUAAAAACAGAAAGUAGAAAGACUUUUGGUCUUCUUUCCAUGUUUUGCCCUCCAACCAAAUCAAAGUGCUACCACGUGCCCUCUCUUUUGCCCGUCCAUCUCCUUUUAAUAUCCAAAAUUUCCAUAAAACAAAACCUUCAUAUCUUUGAUUGAUUGAGAGAGAGAGAGAUGGAUCCACCACAGCUACAUGCCAUAGACACCUCCAGCAAAAGCUAUCCCCCAAUUGAAGACGAGCAAGACAAAAUUGUCGACCAAUGGUAUUUUGCUCCUUUCUACUUACUACGAUUAAUUCUGUUUAAUAUUUUUCUGACUGUUUUAAUUAGACCGAUUCGGUUUACUCAAAUCUCUUUGUUGUUUUUAUUGUUUUUCUGCAAUUGUUCUUGCUUUUACGACUGUACUGAUAGCCUUUUGGAGUACUUGUGCUGCUAUGCGUUCUGGUGUUCCUAGGGAUACAUAUUAAGGAGACUUGUUAUUAGAUGAAUUAAUUAUGUUCUUCCGCUUUUGGCAUUUUGCACGGCAUUACUCGAUUUACAUAGAAAAUUUAGUCUUUCUAUACUGAAAAUUUAUAAUGAGAUUGUCGUGGCUUCUUAUUAGGUUAUAAUGAUCUUUUUCCAAUUAUAUGCAUGCCUAUGGUUCAUAAAGUUAUAUGCUAGAAAGAAUUUGAACCCUUUUUGAUCGUGCACUAAUCAAUUUUGAUAAUCAAAGAGGCGUUGGUUCUAUUCUGAUAAAAAGUUUGUGUUUCAGUUGUGAGUAAAGUAAAGGGAAGUUGACAAAUGACAACUAGUCAUAAAUUAUUGAAGAAUGGUCAGGAAUUUUCUCCCCUUCUACCUAGUGCCCUAAUCUUGAAGUGAUACUGGUCUGUACAUCCAAUGGCAUUCUGGCCUAAAGUGUUGGUGGAGCCCUAUAUACCACUUUGAUUGAUCCUGGGAUUGUGUCGAAUAGAUUUACAUCAAGAGACUUUUUUUUUUCACAAGCUCGAUUACUCUAAUGAUACCGACAAUGAUUUUUUCCCUUGUUUUAGCGCCGUUAUUUUACAUUGCGUGCCACCAGAAAAAUUGCUCUUGAUCAAAUUUCACAUGCCUAAAUUCUUUUCUUUGACACCUGCAAAUACUACGUAAUAUUGUAAUGUAGCAUUCUCCUUUUUUGCCUUUUUUCAAAAGAAAAACUUGAUUAUUAUUAAUGUACAGUACUUGACCUUUUACGACCCAAGGAAAGAGGCUUGGGGUUGGGGUUGGGGUUGUGGAUAGUCUUAUGUAGCACGAAUUAUGUCCGCGAAGUGGGAUGCGGAUACGAAUAUACAAAAAGUUUUUUAAGUAUUAAAGGAUAAUGAUAUAGGGUUAAAAUUUAAAAAGGUCUAAAAAUGUUAUUCAACUUACAAAAAGCGUUAGCUACACUCUGGUGAAGCAGUUUAGAAAGUAGUAUUACCUUCCAUGUUAUAGGUGCAAUUAGAUUAGCCAAGUUCACCUCAGUAGAAAUCUGAUUGAUGCUUUGAACCACCAACCACUUGAACAAACAUGGUAAUCCAGAUUUUACGGUCAUUGCCGUCUUCAAGAAGCCUUAAAAGUGAUUGCAAUGAAGAUGGUAGAAGUCUAUGAGGCGCAUAAACAGUGUGCCUCUCACAUAACUUUAUAAGCAAUCAAAAUAGAGUAACCUUUCCAACAACGAGGAAAAAAUAUGGUUUUUGUGAUAUGGGGAAGAUGACUGGAAAGGGGGGAUUUGGAAUGGAUUGGGUUGGGUUUAGUUGGGGUUGGGUUAAUUAAUGAGGUAAUAAGUUAAUCGGGGUUGGGUUUGGGUUAAUCGACAUAACCCAGAUUUAAAUAAUAUGGGGCAUGGGUUAAUUUGGAGAAAUGAGAACAUUACGCGUGAAAUUCUGGGAUUUAAAAAAAUUUAAAAAAAGAAUUUUAUGCCGUUAGUUCAUUAAUGGCAUAGUUAAACCAUAUGAGUAAUGAUAGUGGUAUGGAAUUAGCAUUUUCUUAACGAAUGACAUGGAUAAGUUUUUUCUGAAAGUUAGAGUAAUAUUUUUAGGAUUUUUCCAUUUAAAAAUCCAUAGAUUGUCUAUAUUAGAUACCUAAAAUACUGCAAGAAGUAGUAAAAUCAAAAAUAAAAUCCAUAAAAUACAACAACAGUCACUGAGUGAGAUGAAAGAACAAAAACAACCAAUCCAAUCAGGCAGCAACGAAGGUUACAUUUUCAUUGUCAAAUGGAGCUCUUUUUUCCUUCUCUUCUUUGAUGGACAGAAUUAUUCGAUAUUUAUUUCGAUAGAAAAUACUAUAUGAAGUACGCAAUAAAAUAAUUAAAAUGAGCACGAACAAACCCGUAUUUCGAGUUCAUAUUUGGACCAUAUUUUUUUCAAGUUGAAUACAUUGAGUGACCAAAUAUUGGAUAUUCAUGUCCGAAUAAGAGGACAAUACAUAUCAAUUAAAAGAAAAGACAAUCUGAAAAAUUCGUCAAAUCAUGAACCGGCACACCAAUACGUAGCAGUACAAUUGGUGACUGGGCUUAGCAGUUGACUUGCAAACUAAGAUGAUAUGGAUAUAUGCAUUAUAUUAAUUUGAGAUUUUUGCCUAUACAUCCCAUAUAGCAAACUUUAUUACUAUUAUUGUAUCUUAUUUGGUUAUUACCCUCAUAUUCCAUGUUUUAGUUACCAAUAAUGUACCAAACGAAAAUUUGCUGAUCUUUCACCUUACAAUAACGCCAUUUAUUAAGGCUCAACAGAUUGUUAAAUAUUUUGUUGCCUAAAAUAGCGCCUGUAUUUAAGGCUCCCAAUUAAUCUUUGAUUUUGUACCAAUUAAAUGCUCAAUCAAAAACGGUAAAAUCUCAUAUACAACGUGAAUCUCACGAAAUCAAUCUGAUUUUGUAGCCUACAAUAGCGCCUGUUUUUAAGGCUCCCAACGAUAUUAGCUAUUUUGUAGCCUAAAAUAACGCCUGUUUUUAAGGCUCCCAAUUAAUCUUUGAUUCUAUACCAAUUUAAAUGGUCAAUCAAAAACGGUAAAAUCUCUUAACCAGCGUGAAUCUCUCCAGUUUUCUGUUNNNNNNNNNNNNNNNNNNNNNNNNNNNNNNNNNNNNNNNNNNNNNNNNNNNNNNNNNNNNNNNNNNNNNNNNNNNNNNNNNNNNNNNNNNNNNNNNNNNNNNNNNNNNNNNNNNNNNNNNNNNNNNNNNNNNNNNNNNNNNNNNNNNNNNNNNNNNNNNNNNNNNNNNNNNNNNNNNGAUUUUGUAGUUCUUCCAGAUUUCUGUUUCGAAAAUCUUUCAUUUUUCUACAUCAAAUACUGAAAAUCAGAAUUUACAGCGUGAUAGUCAAUAAAAUUGCAGUUCUUCCAGAUUUCAGUUUCGGAAAUAACUCAUUCUCCUACAAUAGAUAAGUUAUUGAAGGCAAAGGGUAUUUUCGCAUUACUUGGGCACAAAUUCAACAAAGAAUUGGAAGAUAACAAUACAUUAUCCCAGAAACUAAAGGUAAUAUAUUCUUGUUUGGUGCAGGAAAAAAAANNNGAUUUUGUAGUUCUUCCAGAUUUCUGUUUCGAAAAUCUUUCAUUUUUCUACAUCAAAUACUGAAAAUCAGAAUUUACAGCGUGAUAGUCAAUAAAAUUGCAGUUCUUCCAGAUUUCAGUUUCGGAAAUAACUCAUUCUCCUACAAUAGAUAAGUUAUUGAAGGCAAAGGGUAUUUUCGCAUUACUUGGGCACAAAUUCAACAAAGAAUUGGAAGAUAACAAUACAUUAUCCCAGAAAUUAAAGGUAACAUAUUCUUGUUUGGUGCAGGAAAAAAAAAACUGGUAAAAUAGUAGCUGUUGCAGUGUUUCCAGUGUGUUUUUAAAAUUGUAGUCAAAUGUGGGUAAAUGUAGUUAAUGUUUAUAUGGAGUGUUUCCAGUGUGUUUUUAAAAUGUAGUCAAAUGUGGAUAAAUGUAGUUAAAGUUUAUAUGCAGUAUUUCUAGUGUGUUUUUAAAAAUGUGGGUAAAUAUAGUUAACGUUUAUAUGCAGUUUGUUUGUAGCUGAUUUGUAGUUAACUGAUUGCUGCUAACAUAGUUAACUUAUUGACACCUUAUUAUUUUCUUUUUGGUCUUGAAUUGUAGGUGAGAGCUUCAACAGAUCAUAUACACACUGUGUUAGAUUGUNN
Molecule: long non-coding RNA, 4290 nt
Filed under: Nicotiana benthamiana
Lineage: Eukaryota; Viridiplantae; Streptophyta; Magnoliopsida; Solanales; Solanaceae
Description: long non-coding RNA (NBEN_LNC004697)
Source: RNAcentral